UAAAAAGUUCUUUAAACA
RNAcentral lists this transfer RNA (18 nucleotides) under Sclerophrys regularis (square-marked toad). Its description in RNAcentral is "partial tRNA-Phe". The record is from RNAcentral. Lineage: Eukaryota; Metazoa; Chordata; Amphibia; Anura; Bufonidae.